UAGAGGAUCAGUAGGUUAAUAUAUUAAUGAAUAUAAAUUGUGAAUAAAUAUACUGUGAAUCUAUUACAUUAAUUAUUACAUGGGCAAAGUAAAGCAAUAGUGAAGAUGAAGAGAGGAAUACUGAAAGUUUCCUAGAACACAAAAUUGCUUCAAAAUAUUCAGUGCUAGAGAGGAGUGGAAGUUCAUUAGGUCUUUAAAAAAAGAAAAGUCAAAAAAAAAAAAAAAGGAAAAGAACAAGUUUCCAGCUUUGAUAAACUGUUGUUGUAUGCCCAUUGUCACGUACAAUAGUAGCAGCAAUUUGAGUUACUCAUGCAUUUCACUGCCUUCCAAUUUCACUGUAUGAAUUGUGGUUGUCAUUGUGGGGAUCUCAAUGGCAUCCUUGCUCGCUCAUUCUGCAAAGAUAAACCAACAGCAGAUGGAAAGUUAAGUGCAGGACACAAAAUGUAAGGGAGCUAUGCCAUUAUACAUAUACUCUAUAUGUCUAAGGCAAUCUUACUUCCAUCUCUUUCUCCUUAGCAAGAACAAACAAGCUGUCCAACAGCAGCUUUUGGUAAUCACCAUUUUCCAGAUUUCAAGCACAAUCUAUACUUCUUCAUCUGGAGUUUCAGAAAACCGGAAUCACACAAGUGUAAGAAUUCUGACAAAGCUGUAGUUCAGCAUUUUGGCAAGUGCAACGAAAAGAACUGUGUAUAUGUAAGAGACACUUCAGUCUCAUGAGAAGCAGUCCUUGCAGGAUUUCCUGGACAGGAUCAAGAACCACUGGAAAUAUUCAGAGAUUUUACUGGAAAUCGCUUGAGAACAGACUGUCUGACAGGCUCUGUUUUGAGUCAACUUUGGAUUGAAACUGAACUUUAGCGUGAGUAUGUGAACAGGUCUAUUAUCUCUAUUCACACUUCACAAUCAGUUAAACAGUUUCAUUAAAUACUGUGAUGCAGAAAAUCACAUUCUGGUCCUAAGAAAUAUGGGUCAUACAGCUAGUCCUUGCUCAGGCAAAUAGUUCCACUGAGUUUAAUUUUCAGGACAGCCCUUCUGUCAGUGCUAUGAAACAGUGAAGCAAAUAAAAGGUCUACACAUUUUUAGUAAAUCA
This 1087-nucleotide long non-coding RNA is filed under the name Anas platyrhynchos platyrhynchos (common mallard). RNAcentral's name for it is "lncRNA (ENSAPLG00000025325.1)". The record is from RNAcentral. Lineage: Eukaryota; Metazoa; Chordata; Aves; Anseriformes; Anatidae.